UACAGAGGGGGCAAGCGUUAUUCGGAAUUACUGGGCGUAAAGCGUGCGCAGGCGGCUUUGCAAGACAGAUGUGAAAUCCCCGGGCUCAACCUGGGAACUGCAUUUGUGACUGCAAGGCUAGAGUACGGUAGAGGGGGAUGGAAUUCCGCGUGUAGCAGUGAAAUGCGUAGAUAUGCGGAGGAACACCGAUGGCGAAGGCAAUCCCCUGGACCUGUACUGACGCUCAUGCACGAAAGCGUGGGGAGCAAACAGG
RNAcentral lists this ribosomal RNA (253 nucleotides) under uncultured bacterium. RNAcentral's name for it is "partial 16S ribosomal RNA". It matches the Rfam family "Bacterial small subunit ribosomal RNA", at positions 524 to 776 of the family's 1533-position model. The record is from RNAcentral.